Molecule: long non-coding RNA, 544 nt
Organism: Engraulis encrasicolus (European anchovy)
Lineage: Eukaryota; Metazoa; Chordata; Actinopteri; Clupeiformes; Engraulidae
Exons: 4
Source: RefSeq, a predicted model, not a curated record
CAGCUCAACUGACCAAGACCUUUGCUCAUUGAAGGCAUGAAGUAAUUUGUGAUGCCCCCACGAUUGCAGUUUUUAAAUCCAGAUGGCUUGCUCUUUUUAACAUGUGCGAGAGCUGGAUGGUCUUUCAACAACACUGCUCCGGGUCUUCAGCAAGAAAGGUGCUUCUCAUGCAAGGAAGAUACAGAGGAUCCUGGUGCCCAUGACUCAGACUGACAACAUUGAUGUGAAGAGGGAGUGCAUGCUGAGGAGCUGACGGUCUACCUGAAUGAAGAGCCAGACAAAGUGGAUGUUGAUCUGGACGGUCCAGCUGAAACGUAUUGUCUUCGUGUGCGUGUGAUCGGCAGAGAGUCCUCAACGACAUUGGUAACGUACCUGUGGCCAUUGCAGUGUUUGUUUUGGUUUAUGCUCUUAAUCUCUGUUACCUUCCAGAAUGGAAGUACACUUUCAAAUUUCUGUUUCAUUCUAACCGUCUGUUUCAUCAGUUUUUGCACUGCUUUUAAAUGUACACUGUGUAAGAUUCUUAGUUGUUUAUUUCCAGAAUUCA